RNAcentral lists this long non-coding RNA (507 nucleotides) under Spirodela polyrhiza (greater duckweed). RNAcentral's name for it is "long non-coding RNA (SPOL_LNC000311)". The record is from RNAcentral. Lineage: Eukaryota; Viridiplantae; Streptophyta; Magnoliopsida; Alismatales; Araceae.
UGUCCUCCCCAUCAACACCACGCCGUAGACGGCGGUGUCCGCGAGGCCGCCGUAGGUCCCCGCAUCCUCCACACCGCCGCCGUUGCCGCUGCUCGCCUUCUGCACCGCCGUCUUGAGGUAGUGGAGGAGGAACCUGGUGAGGAUGAGGUUCCUGUUCUCGCUGCCGUAGGCGCCGAGUGUCGUGAUGAGCUUUUCUAUAACAUUGGGGUGGAGAAUGGUGAGGUCGUCGAACCACCAUUCCCUGCCGGAGCAGGGCUUGAUGCUGUCGGGGGUCUUGGCGGAGGAGGAGAAUCUUAGCCCGUAGGUGUCGGGAGACGAGGAGGAGGAGGAUGAGGAGGCGAAGGGGGUGCCCGCCACCAGAGGGAUUUCAGAAUUCGCCGAGAUCUUGCCAAGAAGGGCAGAGAAGAGUUUCUGGAGGAGACCCGAGUCGUCGGCGGCGUCUAGGAAAGGCUCGCAGCUCUUCAGAGAGUCGAGGAUGUCUCUCCAGGUCCAGUAGAAGAGCCCCUC